Molecule: ribosomal RNA, 432 nt
Filed under: uncultured bacterium
Lineage: Bacteria
Description: partial 16S ribosomal RNA
Rfam family: Bacterial small subunit ribosomal RNA
Source: RNAcentral
ACGAACGCUGGCGGCAUGCCUCACACAUGCAAGUCGAACGAGACCUUCGGGUCUAGUGGCGCACGGGUGCGUAACGCGUGGGAACCUGCCCUUAGGUUCGGAAUAACUCCCCGCAAGGGGUGCUAAUACCGGAUAAUGUCUUCGGACCAAAGAUUUAUCGCCUUUGGAUGGGCCCGCGUUGGAUUAGCUAGUUGGUAGGGUAAAAGCCUACCAAGGCGACGAUCCAUAGCUGGUCUGAGAGGAUGAUCAGCCACACUGGGACUGAGACACGGCCCAGACUCCUACGGGAGGCAGCAGUGGGGAAUAUUGGACAAUGGGCGAAAGCCUGAUCCAGCAAUGCCGCGUGAGUGAUGAAGGCCUUAGGGUUGUAAAGCUCUUUUACCCGGGAUGAUAAUGACAGUACCGGGAGAAUAAGCUCCGGCUAACUCCGUG